Molecule: RNase MRP RNA, 388 nt
Filed under: Fistulina hepatica ATCC 64428
Lineage: Eukaryota; Fungi; Basidiomycota; Agaricomycetes; Agaricales; Fistulinaceae
Description: RNase MRP
Rfam family: RNase MRP
About the family: RNase MRP is an enzymatically active ribonucleoprotein with two distinct roles in eukaryotes. In mitochondria it plays a direct role in the initiation of mitochondrial DNA replication.
Source: Rfam by way of RNAcentral
UGGUCGUCCGAAGAAUCGUUGUCGCAGCUCCCACACAGAGUCGCUUCUAGCACUCUUAUUCUGCUGUGGGGAAAGUCCCCGGAGAUUCUCAGAGUGUAUCCUCGCACCACUAGUCUGGAAAACUGUCGGCUCCAAGUGCGUCGGUUUUGGUCGAGGAUGGCCUUGGUUCCGUGUUCACGUCUUGCGACAUGUUGCUCGAAUUCUGGCCGCUCUGAUGCUCCGCCCACGACUUGUUUUGGUGGCAACGGCUCCGCGUGCGAAGAUAUGAGCAUGCGUUCAGCUCGCUAAGCUAGUAGUGGUCGUGCAAUCCGUUGCUCAUAGGCACAGUUAUACGAUUGUUGAUCUACUUGUAGAUCUCCAACACAAUGGGGCUCACUCUCGGUCGGCC